GAUGAACGCUAGCUACAGGCUUAACACAUGCAAGUCGAGGGGUAACGAGAGGAAAGCUUGCUUUCCUUGUCGACGACCGGCGCACGGGUGAGUAACGCGUAUCCAACCUGCCCCCAACUAAGGAAUAACCUUGCGAAAGUAAGACUAAUACCUUCUAAUUUCCUCAGAUGUCAUCUGACGAGGAAUAAAGAUUUAUCGGUUGUGGAUGGGGAUGCGUCUGAUUAGCUUGUUGGCGGGGUAACGGCCCAACAAGGCAACGAUCAGUAGGGGUUCUGAGAGGAAGGUCCCCCACAUUGGAACUGAGACACGGUCCAAACUCCUACGGGAGGCAGCAGUGAGGAAUAUUGGUCAAUGGGCGAAAGCCUGAACCAGCCAAGUAGCGUGCAGGACGACGGCCCUAUGGGUUGUAAACUGCUUUUAUACAGGAAUAAAGUUAGCCACGUGUGGUUAUUUGUAGGUACUGUAUGAAUAAGGACCGGCUAAUUCCGUGCCAGCAGCCGCAGUAA
RNAcentral lists this ribosomal RNA (506 nucleotides) under uncultured bacterium. Its description in RNAcentral is "partial 16S ribosomal RNA". It matches the Rfam family "Bacterial small subunit ribosomal RNA", at positions 28 to 523 of the family's 1533-position model. The record is from RNAcentral.